Esox lucius (northern pike) is the source of this 1070-nucleotide long non-coding RNA. The record is from Ensembl. NCBI's taxonomy places the organism in Eukaryota, Metazoa, Chordata, Actinopteri, Esociformes, Esocidae.
CGCCCACUGCACAGGCCAGGGCGACCCCUCAGAGCAGCCAUUAUGACUGUCGUCGCCCAUCAGAUGUGAAGACACCAAGCCAAAUAAUAACAUGUAACAAUGAGGCGAGAGUGUCAGGAGGGCAGAGAGGCUGUCAAAACGACGGCAACCACAACCACGCUGGCGUCUCCAGAAGCAGAGGAAAGAGCGUUUAAUCGCUUUGAAUGCUCUUCGUCAAGCUACGCCAGAGGAAGGAGCUCGGUGGUGGAUAGAAAACGCCUGAUAUGACUUGCGGGAGUCAAUCAAACCUCUCGUGCACCUGUGACCUACAAGACAUGGGAAAAAAUCUCCCGGCGGAAGAUAUUGUAUGGUUCUUUACAAUAAUUGAAUUCGAAUAUAUAUAUAUAUGUGUGUGUGUUUAAAUAGUCAGUUAUAAUUACGUAUUUGUCCUAAUUUAUCAUGCAGUGUAUCAGUCAGGCUGUUCGAUGCAGAAAUGCAAUACUAAUGCAUUAGAAAAUACAUUUAAACUAGAUCUUGUUUGUUAUAAUAUGUAGGCCAUAAUUAAAUCAUAGGUUGUACUAAAAAAAAAUGCUUCCUUGCUAAUCCGUCUCUGCCAAUCCAACUUGGUGUCCUGAAAUGACCUGGUAUCCUUGUAGUCUGAAACAUACGUAUGAAUACUGAGGCAGGUAAAAUCCUAAAACAAAAUGUAUUUUUUAAGUGACCAAUUAAAAUUGUGCUUAUGUUGAGGAACCGUUUUCACUUAUUAUAUUAUGUUGAUGCUUAUAUAUUUUUCCUUUGUCCUGGGUGUCCGUCAGGCAUUUAAAUGUAGCUGUGAGACAGACGUAACUUAGACUUGUGUAACUUGUAAACUGUUGAUAAUCCGCUGCAAUCGUGUGUUUUUUGUCUGCUUGGCACGUGGUUGUGGUAUGGGGAUGAAUCACAUUUUACUAAAAUAAAAUAUAUCAUCCGGGUUUCAGAAAACAUACUGAAGUUGCACUAACUGGAUCCCGUUUCAAGAAUACACCACAAUACUGUUUAUUUAUUGUAUGUUUAAGAAUGACCUCAUGUUUCUGUUUGAUUCUUUGUGUGGG